AUGGAUGGAAAAGUGAAUAUUAUAUAUC
This 28-nucleotide non-coding RNA is filed under the name Mus musculus (house mouse). Lineage: Eukaryota; Metazoa; Chordata; Mammalia; Rodentia; Muridae. The record is from RNAcentral.